This 71-nucleotide transfer RNA is filed under the name Spirochaetota bacterium. RNAcentral's name for it is "Spirochaetes bacterium (groundwater metagenome) tRNA-Gln". It matches the Rfam family "tRNA". From Rfam's summary of the family: Transfer RNA (tRNA) molecules are approximately 80 nucleotides in length. Their secondary structure includes four short double-helical elements and three loops (D, anti-codon, and T loops). Further hydrogen bonds mediate the characteristic L-shaped molecular structure. tRNAs have two regions of fundamental functional importance: the anti-codon, which is responsible for specific mRNA codon recognition, and the 3' end, to which the tRNAs corresponding amino acid is attached (by aminoacyl-tRNA synthetases). tRNAs cope with the degeneracy of the genetic code in two manners: having more than one tRNA (with a specific anti-codon) for a particular amino acid; and 'wobble' base-pairing, i.e. permitting non-standard base-pairing at the 3rd anti-codon position. The record is from RNAcentral. Lineage: Bacteria; Pseudomonadati; Spirochaetota.
UGGGGUGUUGUGUAAUGGUAGCACGACAGACUCUGAAUCUGUUUGUAUAGGUUCGACUCCUUUCACCCCAA